RNAcentral lists this ribosomal RNA (427 nucleotides) under uncultured bacterium. Its description in RNAcentral is "bacterial SSU rRNA". It matches the Rfam family "Bacterial small subunit ribosomal RNA", at positions 355 to 796 of the family's 1533-position model. The record is from RNAcentral.
UUAGGAAAUUUUCACAAUGGGGGAAACCCUGAUGGAGUAACGCCGCGUGGAGGAUGACGGCUUUCGGGUUGUAAACUCCUUUUCUGUGGGAAGAGUAGAAGACGGUACCGCAGGAAGAAGCCUCGGCUAACUACGUGCCAGCAGCCGCGGUAAUACGUAGGAGGCGAGCGUUGUCCGGAAUUACUGGGCGUAAAGAGCGCGUAGGCGGCACAGUACGACCGAUGUGAAAGCCCCCGGCUCAACUGGGGAGGGUCAACGGUAACGGCUGAGCUGUGAGUGCAGGAGAGGGAAGUGGAACUCCGGGAGUAGCGGUGAAAUGCGUAGAGACCCGGAGGAACACCAGUGGCGAAGGCGGCUUCCUGGUCUGCAACUGACGCUGAGGCGCGAAAGCUAGGGGAGCAAACGGGAUUAGAUACCCCCGUAGUCC